UCCUCUUAACCAAGGAGUGUGGAGACACUGGUAUGGCAUACAGGUGAGAUGUAAGGGUACAUCUGCACUGAACGUGACCGACUCUGGAGCUUUUUUCUGCUGUCAAGAUUUGCUCCGAUGGGAUAUGGGUAUAACUGUCCCUUCGACCUGAGACCGCCACGGUGACUUGCAAGCAACACACUGUACUUAAGCACUGGACUACUUGAAUUUCUAAUUCAGUGACGAAAGGCUGCUGGGUGUAGUCAAGUACUUGACUUGUCGGUGCAUGUGUCAAGAUGGGAUUGACCACUCCAGUUCAGGAGCUGUGUACAGUUGUGUUUCAAUUUAGCAAAACCUUGGUCAGGGUAGUCCUAGUGAGGAGUCACAGGACUGAUUGAGUUGAGC
RNAcentral lists this long non-coding RNA (384 nucleotides) under Elaeis guineensis (African oil palm). RNAcentral's name for it is "long non-coding RNA (EGUI_LNC050860)". Lineage: Eukaryota; Viridiplantae; Streptophyta; Magnoliopsida; Arecales; Arecaceae. The record is from RNAcentral.